GGUGAUGCGGUCAGUUUUCGAGAAAAGAAGCCAUUUUGGAUACUUUGGGAAUAUUUAAACAUUACUUCGCGAGAUCAAUUUGGUACCUGAAGGGCAUUGAAUUGGUACCAAAUCAUAAUCGUAGCAUGCUUCUAUCAUUUUUCUACGAAUACUUAUAGCUAUGGCUGAUAGGCGGAAGCUACAAGGUGAAAUUGACAGAUGCCUCAAAAAAGUAACAGAGGGAGUAGAGUCAUUUGAAGACAUCUGGCAAAAGGUGCACAAUGCAGCAAACACAAAUCAAAAGGAGAAGUAUGAAGCCGAUCUCAAGAGAGAGAUUAAAAAGCUGCAGG
Molecule: long non-coding RNA, 329 nt
Organism: Saccostrea cuccullata (small rock oyster)
Lineage: Eukaryota; Metazoa; Mollusca; Bivalvia; Ostreida; Ostreidae
Exons: 3
Source: RefSeq, a predicted model, not a curated record